This 508-nucleotide ribosomal RNA is filed under the name uncultured bacterium. Its description in RNAcentral is "partial 16S ribosomal RNA". It matches the Rfam family "Bacterial small subunit ribosomal RNA", at positions 28 to 507 of the family's 1533-position model. The record is from RNAcentral.
GACGAACGCUGGCGGCGUGCCUAAUACAUGCCAGUCGAACGCUUCUUUCCUCCCGAGUGCUUGCACUCAAUUGGAAAGAGGAGGGGCGGACGGGUGAGUAACACGUCGGUAACCUACCCAUCAUAGGGGGAAAACACUUGGAAACAGGUUCUAAUACCGCAUAACAGUUUAUGCCGCAUGGCAUAAGAGUGAAAGGCGCUUUCGUGUGUCGCUGAUGGCUGGACCCGCGGUGCAUUGGCUAGUUGGUGAGGUAACGGCUCACCAAGGCCACGAUGCAUAGCCGAAGUGAGAGGGUGAUCGGCCACACGGGGACUGAGACAGGGACAAGACGACUGAGGGAGGGAGCAGUAGGGAAUCUGCGGCAAUAGACGAAAGUAUGGCCGAGCAACGCCGCGUGAGUGAAGAAGGUUUUCGGAUCGUAAAACUCUGUUGUUAGAGAAGAACCAGGACGUCAGUAACCGAACGUCCCGUGACGGUAACUAACCAGAAAGCCACGGCUAACUACGUG